UACGAGGGGUGCAAGCGUUAUCCGGAAUUAUUGGGCGUACAGGGUGCGUAGGCGGCUUAUUAAGUCAAUUGUUAAAUCUCCCGGCCUAACCGGGAACAAGCGAUUGAUACUGACGAGCUAGAGGAUGGAAGAGAGAAGCGGAAUUCUCGGAGUAGCGGUAAAAUGCGUAGAUCUCGAGAGGAACACCGAUGGCGAAGGCAGCUUCUUGGUCCAUUUCUGACGCUGAGGCACGAAAGCGUGGGGAGCAAACAGG
This 253-nucleotide ribosomal RNA is filed under the name uncultured bacterium. Its description in RNAcentral is "partial 16S ribosomal RNA". It matches the Rfam family "Bacterial small subunit ribosomal RNA", at positions 524 to 776 of the family's 1533-position model. The record is from RNAcentral.